AUUGCAGGGUCUUCUGGAGUUUAGGAGCUGAGUUUCAGCCCCGGGCACGCAGGCGUGGUUGUUCAUGCUGGACCGACCCAGAAGUCACUGAAUUUCCCCCCACCCUGAGACAGGAUGCCACUGUGUAGCCCAGUGUAGUGAACACUUGGAAUACAAAAUAAAGAUGGUGGAAUGAGACAUUCCGUCUCCAGUUCCUAACAUCAGAAGUGAGCACCUGUGUGUCACCAGCAACAUAUUGGAGGCCAGCUGCCUACACCAAUCAGAAACAGGGACCACAAAGUCUGCAGGGGUGAGAUAGGCCUUUUCAGUGUCUACGAUUUCAUCAUGGACAUUACUGUCGAUUUCUCUUCCUGCCCCUGUAUGUGCGGGUCUAUCGCCAUCUCGCCAUCUCCGGCUCCUGUGUUAUGAAGACAGUCUCAUGCAGCCCAGACCAAUCUCAAAUUGACUAGGUAAACUGAGGCUGGCCUUGAACCAGUCCCUCCUGCCUCUAUCUCCUGAGAGCUGGGUAACAGCUUCUGGAGCCUCACCCAGCUUCGCUUUCACCACCCCAGCCAAUCCUGUGACUCCUCUUCAUAGCGAGAGCAUUGACACUUAUGUUCUGAGUGUGAAAAAAAAAAAAAAAUCACAUAGUACUUCCUACUAGAACCUUGCCCGGGUCAACUGAAGUGUGUGUGUUUGCUUACCAGUCUGCAGGUUUGCUUAAGUUUGUUUAUUUUAGAGACCAGGUCUUGCUCUGUUGCCUAAGCCAACUUGAAACUCUUGGGCUCCAACAGUUCUCCUGCUCCAUCUUUCUAGAGCAGCUGGGACUCUAGGCAUGCUCCACUACAGCUGACUGAAGCUUGAAUGAAUGAAUGAAUGAAUGAAUGAGUUACUACCUCUGAGGGACCCUCCUCAUGGCCUUCUCAACUCUGUACUUUAAUUAGUUGCUUAGAGGUGUCUCCAUGCCUCAGUUUCCCCAUCUGUAAUAGUAAACGAGUUCACAGGC
RNAcentral lists this long non-coding RNA (985 nucleotides) under Mus musculus (house mouse). RNAcentral describes it as "tumor protein p53 pathway corepressor 1". Lineage: Eukaryota; Metazoa; Chordata; Mammalia; Rodentia; Muridae. The record is from RNAcentral.